AUUGAACGCUGGCGGCAGGCCUAACACAUGCACGUCGAACGAGUGGCGGACGGGUGAGUAAUGUCUGGGAAACUGCCCGAUGGAGGGGGAUAACUACUGGAAACGGUAGCUCAUACCGCAUACCAUCGGAUGUGCCCAGAUGGGAUUAGCUAGUAGGUUGGGUAACGGCUCACAUAGGCGACGAUCCCUCGCUGGUCUGCGAGGAUGACCAGCCACACUGGAACUGAGAAACGGUCCAGACUCCGACGGGAGGCAGCAGUGGGGAAUAUUGCACAAUGGGCGCAAGCCUGAUGCAGCAAUGCCGCGUGUAUGAAGAAGGCCUGCGGGUUGUAAAGUACUUUCAGCGGGGAGGCGUUACCCGCAGAAGAAGCACCGGCUAACUCCGUGCCAGCAGCCGCGGUAAUAC
RNAcentral lists this ribosomal RNA (406 nucleotides) under uncultured bacterium. RNAcentral's name for it is "partial 16S ribosomal RNA". It matches the Rfam family "Bacterial small subunit ribosomal RNA", at positions 30 to 526 of the family's 1533-position model. The record is from RNAcentral.